GACAUCGUAGUAAAAAAACAUGCAUAUGUUUCUUUCAAAGAGAUGAAUGCAGUGUCUGGAAAGGUCUUAUCAUACUCCACAAAUUUAGAAAAGUCCAAUUUUUCAAGAAACUGUAAUGCAGUACCACGCCAGGAAUACUCUGAUGUCCUCAUCAGCUACGAAAGGGUUGUACAGAUGCACUACGAUGGGAACCCCCUCCACUGCAAAAAGUGGCACCACACACAGUCCCCGCAAUGCUUCGUCCUCUGACUUUUGGGUGCACUGAUCAAAAAAUGCAGCACAGUCGGAAAAAAGCCAUGAAGGGGCACCUUUAGGUACUGCAGUACCAGGUCGAUGCAUGGAGCGGACGGAGCAAGCCCCUCUUCCAGUUCCUGGCUCUAAAAAUCCAUUUAAUAUAAAGUCCUCGAAUGGAGGACGUAUCAGGUAUUAAACUGA
Long non-coding RNA from Ictalurus punctatus (channel catfish), 435 nucleotides. RefSeq lists it as uncharacterized. The record is from RefSeq and is a predicted model, not a curated record. Lineage: Eukaryota; Metazoa; Chordata; Actinopteri; Siluriformes; Ictaluridae. The transcript is spliced from 3 exons.